This 430-nucleotide unclassified non-coding RNA is filed under the name soil metagenome. RNAcentral's name for it is "partial contains 5.8S ribosomal RNA, internal transcribed spacer 2, and large subunit ribosomal RNA". The stretch from base 1 to 120 matches the Rfam family "5.8S ribosomal RNA", at positions 35 to 154 of the family's 154-position model. The record is from RNAcentral.
GAUGAAGAACGUAGCGAAAUGCGAUACGUAAUGUGAAUUGCAGAAUUCAGUGAAUCAUCGAAUCUUUGAACGCAUAUUGCGCUCUCUGGUAUUCCGGAGAGCAUGCUUGUUUGAGUAUCAGUAAACACCUCAACUCCCUUUUCUUUUUUGAAAUUGGAGCUGGACUUGAGUGAUCCCAACGCUUUCUUCCAAGAAAGUGGCGGGUUGCUUGAAAUGCAGGUGCAGCUGAACUUUUCUCUGAGCUAUAAGCAUAUCUAUUUAGUCUGCCUAAAAAACAGAUUAUUACCUUUGCUGCAGCUAACAUAAAGGAGACUAGUUCUCGUGCUGACUGAUGCAGGAUUCACAGAGACAGCUUCGGCUGACUUUGUAAACUCGAUCUCAAAUCAAGUAAGACUACCCGCUGAACUUAAGCAUAUCAAUAAGCGGAGGA